CGCGGCCUAUCAGCUUGUUGGUGAGGUAAUGGCUUACCAAGGCUUCGACGGGUAACCGGCCUGAGAGGGUGACCGGUCACACUGGGACUGAGACACGGCCCAGACUCCUACGGGAGGCAGCAGUGGGGAAUAUUGCACAAUGGGCGAAAGCCUGAUGCAGCGACGCCGCGUGAGGGAUGACGGCCUUCGGGUUGUAAACCUCUUUCAGUCAGGAACAAGCCUUCGGGUGAGGGUACUGGCAGAAGAAGCACCGGCUAACUACGUGCCAGCAGCCGCGGUAAUACGUAGGGUGCGAGCGUUAUCCGGAAUUAUUGGGCGUAAAGAGCUUGUAGGCGGUUUGUCGCGUCUGCUGUGAAAGCCCGGGGCUUAACUCCGGGUCUGCAGUGGGUACGGGCAGGCUAGAGUGGUGUAGGGGUAACUGGAAUUCCUGGUGUAGCGGUGGAAUGCGCAGAUAUCAGGAAGAACACCGAUGGCGAAGGCAGGUUACUGGGCAUUUACUGACGCUGAGAAGCGAAAGCAUGGGGAGCGAACAGGAUUAGAUACCCUGGUAGUCCAUGCCGUAAACGUUGGGCACUAGGUGUGGGGAGCAUUCCACGUGCUCCGCGCCGUAGCUAACGCAUUAAGUGCCCCGCCUGGGGAGUACGG
RNAcentral lists this ribosomal RNA (645 nucleotides) under uncultured bacterium. RNAcentral's name for it is "bacterial SSU rRNA". It matches the Rfam family "Bacterial small subunit ribosomal RNA", at positions 232 to 885 of the family's 1533-position model. The record is from RNAcentral.